AGAGUUUGAUCAUGGCUCAGGACGAACGCUGGCGGCGUGCUUAACACAUGCAAGUCGAACGGAAAGGCCCCUUCGGGGGUACUCGAGUGGCGAACGGGUGAGUAACACGUGGGUGAUCUGCCCUGCACUUUGGGAUAAGCCUGGGAAACUGGGUCUAAUACCGAAUAGGACCGCAUGCUUCAUGGUGUGUGGUGGAAAGCUUUUGCGGUGUGGGAUGGGCCCGCGGCCUAUCAGCUUGUUGGUGGGGUAAUGGCCUACCAAGUCGACGACGGGUAGCCGGCCUGAGAGGGUGUCCGGCCACACUGGGACUGAGAUACGGCCCAGACUCCUACGGGAGGCAGCAGUGGGGAAUAUUGCACAAUGGGCGCAAGCCUGAUGCAGCGACGCCGCGUGGGGGAUGACGGCCUUCGGGUUGUAAACCUCUUUCAGUAUCGGCGAAGCUCCAGGAUUUUUCUUGGGGUGACGGUAGGUACAGAAGAAGCACCGGCCAACUACGUGCCAGCAGCCGCGGUAAUACGUAGGGUGCGAGCGUUGUCCGGAAUUACUGGGCGUAAAGAGCUCGUAGGUGGUUUGUCACGUUGUCUGUGAAAACUCACAGCUUAACUGUGGGCGUGCGGGCGAUACGGGCAGACUGGAGUACUGUAGGGGAGACUGGAAUUCCUGGUGUAGCGGUGGAAUGCGCAGAUAUCAGGAGGAACACCGGUGGCGAAGGCGGGUCUCCGGGCAGUAACUGACGCUGAGGAGCGAAAGCGUGGGGAGCGAACAGGAUUAGAUACCCUGGUAGUCCAA
Molecule: ribosomal RNA, 789 nt
Filed under: uncultured bacterium
Lineage: Bacteria
Description: bacterial SSU rRNA
Rfam family: Bacterial small subunit ribosomal RNA
Source: RNAcentral